UGGCGGCGUGCCUAAUACAUGCAAGUCGAGCGAAUGGAUUAAGAGCUUGCUCUUAUGAAGUUAGCGGCGGACGGGUGAGUAACACGUGGGUAACCUGCCCAUAAGACUGGGAUAACUCCGGGAAACCGGGGCUAAUACCGGAUAACAUUUUGAACUGCAUGGUUCGAAAUUGAAAGGCGGCUUCGGCUGUCACUUAUGGAUGGACCCGCGUCGCAUUAGCUAGUUGGUGAGGUAACGGCUCACCAAGGCAACGAUGCGUAGCCGACCUGAGAGGGUGAUCGGCCACACUGGGACUGAGACACGGCCCAGACUCCUACGGGAGGCAGCAGUAGGGAAUCUUCCGCAAUGGACGAAAGUCUGACGGAGCAACGCCGCGUGAGUGAUGAAGGCUUUCGGGUCGUAAAACUCUGUUGUUAGGGAAGAACAAGUGCUAGUUGAAUAAGCUGGCACCUUGACGGUACCUAACCAGAAAGCCACGGCUAACUAC
Molecule: ribosomal RNA, 487 nt
Filed under: marine sediment bacterium ISA-7191
Lineage: Bacteria
Description: bacterial SSU rRNA
Rfam family: Bacterial small subunit ribosomal RNA
Source: RNAcentral